AAGCAUUCGGAGAUUAUUCAAAACUGCAACACAGCUCGCAAGGGGAAAGCAAAAGAUACAACCUCCUUAAGAAAAAAAUGGCCAUUAGAGCUGUUUCUUCUUCUUGUUCGUCUUACUUUAAUGAGUCGCGGCUUAUCCUGGUUUGCUGUUUGGUCUUGGUUAUGAUCCUCAAUUUCCUGCCAAUAAUCUCCGCCAGAGGUUCUGGAGAUUUGGGAGGACGAAAACUCAUGUAGUUGAAGAGCGGGGUAAGUUGUACCGUAGGAGAAGAGGACUGUCGAUGCCAUCAAGGUGGAACAGCCUGCAUAUAUAUAUAUAUAUAUAUGUAUCUAUAUAUAGACUCACAAA
Non-coding RNA from Punica granatum (pomegranate), 345 nucleotides. The record is from RefSeq and is a predicted model, not a curated record. Lineage: Eukaryota; Viridiplantae; Streptophyta; Magnoliopsida; Myrtales; Lythraceae.